UACAGAGGUCUCAAGCGUUGUUCGGAUUCAUUGGGCGUAAAGGGUGCGUAGGUGGUGAUGCAAGUCUGGUGUGAAAUCUCGGAGCUCAACUCCGAAAUUGCACCGGAUACUGCGUGACUCGAGGACUGUAGAGGAGAUCGGAAUUCACGGUGUAGCAGUGAAAUUCGUAGAUAUCGUGAGGAAGACCAGUUGCGAAGGCGGAUCUCUGGGCAGUUCCUGACACUGAGGCACGAAGGCCAGGGGAGCAAACGGG
This 253-nucleotide ribosomal RNA is filed under the name uncultured bacterium. RNAcentral's name for it is "partial 16S ribosomal RNA". It matches the Rfam family "Bacterial small subunit ribosomal RNA", at positions 524 to 776 of the family's 1533-position model. The record is from RNAcentral.